CCGGAGGGGGCUCUCUUUGUUCUUCCUUCCUGGUCUUCCCUUUCGCUUCUUCUUUUUUUUCCUUUCUUCUUUCCCUUCCCUUUCUCCCCCCUUUCCCUUCUCUUAAGACUUCCGGGCUGUGAGUCCGGGAGAGGAUGGCGGAAUUCCCAGUGUAGAGGUGAAAUUCGUAGAUAUUGGGAAGAACACCAGUGGCGAAGGCGGCCAUCUGGCCCGGUACUGACGCUGAGGCGCGAAAGCGUGGGGAGCAAACAG
This 252-nucleotide ribosomal RNA is filed under the name uncultured prokaryote. RNAcentral's name for it is "partial 16S ribosomal RNA". It matches the Rfam family "Bacterial small subunit ribosomal RNA", at positions 569 to 775 of the family's 1533-position model. The record is from RNAcentral.